GCCAGUCUGGUGCAGUGGUUUGAGCCUUGGACUAGGACUCUGGAGACCAGGGUUCGAUUCCCAGCUCAGCCA
Molecule: transfer RNA, 72 nt
Filed under: Phrynosoma platyrhinos (Desert horned lizard)
Lineage: Eukaryota; Metazoa; Chordata; Lepidosauria; Squamata; Phrynosomatidae
Description: tRNA-OTHER
Source: RNAcentral